This is a non-coding RNA of Rattus norvegicus (Norway rat), 9816 nucleotides long. The record is from RefSeq and is a predicted model, not a curated record. Lineage: Eukaryota; Metazoa; Chordata; Mammalia; Rodentia; Muridae.
AGAUUACUGGGGUGCACCAGGAUAGUUUUAGUUCUUUUUCUGAUAUUUUCUGAUCUCCUUCUCUGCCAGCCCCUAGCCAGUACAACAGUUCUGAAUAUAUCUGUAGUAAAGUCACAUCCCUGAGAGGUGAGCUACUGGACUACCAUUUUGAAGGCAGAACUGCCCAGAGACAGAGAGACCAACCCAGCCUUGUAGAUAGAUGCCCCAGGUGCUUCUCUCCUGUGUUCUAGCUGUAUGGCUCCAAGUCAAUUGAGAACUUUUAAACUUCUCCAGUAAAAUGAAAUCAAAGUAGGCCCUGACUCCUGGUUGUUCUGAGGAACAAAGAAGGUGAGGAAAUACAAAGUAGCCAGACUGUCUGGUCUUUGACUAUCGUUAUGAAAAGGCCCUUCCUUCUGCUUUUGCAGAGCAGAACUUAUCUCUCUCACUCAUCUGGCACAAAGUCCCACAAGUCUCUUCCUCAGGAGAGGUUUAACUGUCUUUCUCCUGACUUAGGUUAUAAAUUUUCUUGAAUGUCAAGACUUUUUUUUUUUAAGCAUACAUGUGUUUUAUUCAGGAUGCUUAGCAGAUCCUGCAAUGCUAGGACAGACAACAGGGUUGAGCAGUGUUACUCACUCUCACCACCUAGAACAUUCUUGUCUUACUCUGAUACUCUGUGGUUUAUUAUUAUUUAUUACUAUUAAUUAUUAUGAUUAAUGUGUGAAUGUGUGCGACAAAGAGAUUGGAGGGAGAAAGGAAGAGGAAGAGGGAGAGGGAGAGGAAGAGGAAGAGGGAGAGGGAGAGGGAGAGAAGUGCAGACAAGGGUGUACCACAGCACACAUGGAAGCCAGAGGAUUUACAGUUAUUUUUCUCCUACCAUUUGUGUUCUGGGAAUCAAACUCUGGUCCUCAAACUUGUAUGGCACAUGCUUUUACCCAAUGAGCUAUCUUAUUGGCCCUAAUGUUCUGUUUAAAGAGGAAAUUUAUUAAAUUAGGGAGUGACUGUGUAAAGAUAUCCAAUUAUCUCUAUAUAAUGAGGAAAAUUCUAGAAUCCAAGUCACAUUGUCAAAGACCUGAUUUUAUUUCAUCCAGAUCAAGAGUUGGCAAACUAUAGCUCCUAAGGCAAGCUCUGUGUUGGGGUUGAUACUGUAUGGUCAGUCAGUGAGUCAAGCAUGUCAUCUAUUUUUUCAAGUGUCAUAAAAUCAUACAAAGUCACAUGCACCGAAAGCCAAGAUCCCCAGAUCCCAAGCCUGAGAUGCUUUUGGUCUUGCCCUUCAUUAGCAAGGUUUGUAAACAAACCUCUUGGAGACUAAUUUCACUCUCACAGUAAGUGCAUUUUUUCUUAAGCACCACAAACAUGUAAAGGAUCAUAAAAAGUUCUGAGGCAAACAUAAAAUAAGGGAUCAUCUGACUCCUUUUCUCUUUUAGGCCUUAGCAUUGCUAUGAUUUACACAAAUCCCUCUAGGACUGGGGCUGACUAGAUAGGUCUUCAGGGAUUUUCAUGAAAACUGAAUUCACCUUGGGACAAUCAAAAUAAUAGGAAUUGGACAAUGAUUAGAAGUUAGAAAAAGGCUAAUUUCACAGUGAUACAGGAAGAGAACUAAAUGCAGUUUGAUUGUUUUUUUAUAGGGUGAGCUCAUUAGUAGGUAAGUGAGCAUUCAAAAAAAAAUCAUAUUAGAGUCACUUCACACCUGUUAUGCACCACGAGUUUGAGUCAUUGCUGGACUAAAACAAAGGGCUUGACAGAAACUUUCCUUAGUUUCAGAGAUAAGGCAGAGUUGUCUGCAUAAACUGGCCUGGUCAUCCACACUGCAUUGAAAUUUCCCCAUUAUAUUCAAGUAACUUCUGUGGAUCCUCAAGAGGCUUACAUUUCUUCCACUUGCCUUUCUUUCAUUUGUCUGGUGUCAUUCAUUCUUGCAUGGCAGCUUAGUGCCAUGGUCACUACUAUCAUUUCUGCAAGUCAGUCAGCCAAGCACCAUUUUCUUCAGUCUCCUGGAGUCCUUCUCUGGCAAACAUGCUCUGCUUGGGCAAUUUUAAAAGCAUGGAGUGAAAUUUCAGGUUAGCCAGAGGAGGCCGUGGCACACCUUGAAAUCUUAGUUAAUACUGUGAUAAUGAAGCUAUUCUAUAAGAAAUCUCCUUUAAAGCUUCCAGCUAUGCAAGAGCUUCACCCUUCUGUGUCUACCUUGGACUCUGGAGUUCUUCUGCCUUAGUCUUUUGACCCACACCAACAUAAGACUCCACUUCCCACUUAGCUACCCUGCCUGCCUUUGAACAUUGAGAAUUUGUCUAACAUUCUGAGAUUUCUCACCCAAAGAACUGUUUACACAUUUUCUUAAGGAAUGGAGCAAACUACCUAGAGAUAACCACUUUUCUAGGAGGCUUGCCUUUAUUUUCCACUCCAGGAAGCAGCAGACUUCCCACUUAAGCCAGGAGGCCUUUUCCUUUGCAUCAUUAGGGAAAUGAUUCAUUCCCUGCCCAUCCCAAGUGUAGGUCCAGGAAAGUACCUUGCCAGGCUUUCCAAUUUGUUUGGAUCCCUACCCUACCCCACCCCAAGAUACAUGCCCAUUCUCCCUGUGGCACAGCCAGGACACUUGAUAACAAAUUUAAAGACACUACGUUUCUAUGUUUUAGCCAACAUAAGAAGAAAAUAUUAUCAUUAGAAAUGUCAAAGCCUCUCCCUAUCAAUAAUAUGUAAAUUUUACCCUGGCUACUAUGAAAAUUUCUUUUAGAGGUGAAUUUGUGUCCUUUUUUCUAUGCCCUCAUAUUUUUUUUUUUAAUUUGCCACAUUACAGGACAUUUAGUCAAAUGAACCGAAGUCAAUGAGAGAAGGAAACACAGGAACUGGAGCCUGGAGCUGGGGAUCACUGGAAGAAAGCUUAGUUCCUCAGGGAGCAUAAACAGUGGAAUCUGUUCCCUCUUUGCUUUUUUUUUUUUUUUCCAGGAUUUUGUCCCUAACUUUAUCUACAACAAUUUUGGCACUCCUUGCUCCGAGUUUUUGGAGACAAAGACCACUCAGGAAAGGAAAGCAGUAAGGGCAACUCAAAUGAACAGGUCCAAGGGGGUGGAGCCAAAGGGAUAAGGGAGAGGUCUAGGCUCUUGCCUGCUUAUCAGCCAGGCAGUACUGCUGAUCAAGAUGAAGAAGUGCAUUUGCAGAGGUUGUGGAGCCUGGUCUAGUCCUUCAAGGGGGAGCACUCCAAUCACUGAAUUACUUGGCAGUUCCAUAACUCUUACUCCUCCUUACCAUGUAGCAGGGAGUAAAGAGUGGAGGCUUUUCCCUUCUGGAAAAAUAUCUGAUAAAAUUAUUUUCCCUUUUCUUUUUCCCUUCUUACAUGCAGCCCCAGGCAGGAUAUUGUUGUGGGAUCAUCAGAUUCAAAGAAUCCAAAGGAAGAAAAGAAAUGUGAGCAGGGGCUGGAGGUAGUGUUGGAGUAAGGGAAAAGAGGCCCUGGGGAGGGAUACCCAGGUAAAAAGGAUUCUUAGUCACCUGAUAGACUUUUAGGUCAGCUGGAGCACGAAAGUGUUGCCUGGUGGUUACUAGCCACAAGUCAGACUCUGGUCACUAAUCUUUCUUGCCCCUGAAAAAGUGGCGCUUGUGGUCGUCUGGUAGGUGUUUACACUAGCUUCUUGUGGGACAGAAGAGACCUAUCUCUUUAGAAUGAGUUUCCAUUCUAUACCAAAUUUCCCAGUAACAACAGCACAGUUGUCUACUGUGGGCAUUUAAAUUACAUAAGUCAUUGGUUUAAUUUAUUCCAGGACAGAAAAUAGUAGUAUUAACAAACAAAAGAAUCCCAACACAAACCCCGGGAAGUUCUUGGAGAAAGUACAGAGCCUUGGUUGGCUUAUAAAGUCUAGAUGGGUUGGGAAUGGCAGCCCCAGCCCUGCCCUUUACCCUAAAGCUGAGACACCGAUAUUUUCACCGAUAUUUCCUCAAGGUUUGCAGAGGUUCGUAUGCUCUUUCCACCCUGCCCCCUUCAGCCCAAGACAAGGUUGACACUGGCGAGCUGAGGAAAUAAGAAAAGACAGCACUCCACCCAGGCUUGGGUCAGUGCUGAGCUAAGGAACCAAAAGAGUAAGUACAGAGCAUCUGAUGAGGACUCCAGGCCAUGGUCACCCACCUGUGCACAGGGUGGCAUCAUUCUGGGCAUUUUAGUCUAAGCAGUUUUACUCCAUCUAAAUGGACAUGUCUGGGGCUGCCAAUCAUGUGAACCCAGAACCUAACUAAACUUCUCCUCAGCCAGCUCUUUUUGGAGUGGACCCAAAGGCGACUGCACAGAAGACUGGAAGCAAAGAGAUCUUGUGGGUAGAUCUAGGUCACUCACUCUACAGAGCCAUGGUGAGUGACCUUUAAGGUAUACAAUGGGGAUUUAGGAGCUCCGAAGGGUUAAAAGCAAAAUGAGUAACUCACAACACUGAAAACCUCUAAGAACACGAGUUGGGAUGAAGAACAACACCCCCCCCCCCCCAAUGCAGUAAAGUUUGCUAUAGACAGAGCGAAUACUAUUUUUUUUGCCAACCUAAGAGGGGAAGCGCUUAAGAAGUAAGAGUAUGCGUGGGCAGCAGGAGGUGUCUUGGCCUGUCCACCAGCUUUAGACUCUGAAAGGAAGCAGAGCAAGAAAAUUCCAAAGAGCAAUGAAUGUGUGUGCAUGGGGAAGACUGGUGAGCAGAAGGACUUGCUCCAACUUUGAGCUCUGCACCUUCAGCCACGCAGAGGAGCUGGCAUCACCGAGCACUGAGCACUACCAGAGUAAGCUCACACCUAGUUCCAGCUAAGGAUUCCCAGGCAUUGGGAAGAUGUCAGCUAUAACAUAAGUUUAAACAAUAGAAUGAAUAAUGUGAGCAAGAAAGAAUCCGUGUUAUAGUUGGAACAACUGAAGAUCAACUGCAGAUCUCCCACUUGCCCAGACUUGUAUUUACAUCCUAAGUUUCACUGGCCCCAGCAGGAAGAUGUCCUACAGCAGGAUUUAAAUAACACAUACAGGGAAGUGCAUGCAAGCCAUUACAGGAAAAAUUGGCAUGUGAGACUUUAUUAGUAAAGGCUGUUUGUGUAUGUCUGUAGAUCCACUGACUUUUCUCAAAAAGAAGUGAAAAAGGAUUUUUGUUGUUAUUAAGAAAAGGUAGAGAAACAAAAUUCAAAGAGGGCAAAUAGUUACUUUUAUUUAAUUUCUUAUGUUUUGCAUUCUGUUUGCCAGUUAGACAACAAAUCUCCCUAUGGAAAUGACCUCAUUUUAUAAUUCUCCUAAUAAAUGAUGCUAGCUGCCUACAUGGUGCCCAGCCCCAGGGCACAGAGCUCAGUGAAAGGAAGACCUAGUAUGGAGGCUGUUGGUAAGCUUGCUGCCUGAAGCUUUGUUCCCUCCCAGUUUCCAUGUCUGGGUGCAACAGUCUACAACUGUGUAAAUGGCUUAGCUCUCCACCGUACUCUACCUCUCCAAACUAAAGUAACCUUUCCCAGACCAUAGCCAACAAGACAAAUUGACAUUCUGAUCAUUUAUGCUGAUACCUCUGUGUAAUUCUUAAAACACAAGCAUAAAGUAUUAGGUCCUUAGGACUCACAUUGCUAUGUGAAGAAAUAUAGACACAGGAAGGCAAAUCAAGUAUCUUUUUCUUAUGAAACUUGAACCUUCAUCCUUAGUCACUUCUUCAUCAAAGGUCACAUUUUUCCUUAAAAACAAAAACAAAAACAGACUUUUAUUUUCUUAAGUGACAUUUUCAAUGGUACAAAGUCCUAGAUUGUCAUAGUUCCAGAACAUCAGUUUCUUCUCUGCUUUCCUAAGAGCCUCUGGUAGCUCUAAGGACAAAAGUCUCCGGGCCUCUCUUACACUUAGUAGAGAAGGUUAUUCAGUGUCACACCUGGCUUCUCUUAAACUUAGGGAAGACCAUUCAGUCUCACAUCUGGUUUCUCUGAAUAGACUCUGGCAACAUUUUAACUGGCUAGCUAGAUGUCUAGAGGAAAUCUGGCUUUAAGCUUCCAGAAGUGAGCUUCCUCUGAUUUUCUUUUAGAGUUAAAAGAGGAAAGUCCAGGGAGACAAUGGCAAGCAACAAACAAGGCCUGAAAAAUACCUAUAAGGAAAAACGAGCUCUCACUCCAGUUGGGUAUCUAGUGGUUUCUCUAGCUAGCAACCCUUGGUGGCUUCUACACCAGUGUCCUGAUAGAAAUUCAUAUUAAACUCAUAUGUGUAAUUGAAAUUCUUUGUUAUCUUUAUUAGUGUGUAUGAAUUAUGCAUUUAUUUGGUUUUACUUUAACAUUGGUUAUGGUUUUAUUAAAACAUGUUCAUACAUGUAUACAAUGUAUUUUUAUCAUAUUCAUCUCAUUAUCUUCUUUUGUCCCAUUCCUACUUCUGUUGACCUCCCUCUUCUGAUCUAAUUCCUCUUCUAUCUUCAUGUCUGUUAAAUUAAACUUAAUUUAUUUUCCAUUGACUUUCAUUAGGAUUCCUUAUAGGAUAAGUAAGAGGUUGUUGACAGGAACAUGAACAAUUUACCAGUACACAACUGAAGUAAAUGUUUCUCUUAAUUUAAAAAUUUCUAUUAGUCAUAUUUAAAAAAAAAGAAAAAAGAACAAAGCUAAUUAGUUUAAGCCAUGUAUUUUAUAUAAUGCAAUGCAUUCAAAUAUUUCUUCUAACAUGUGUUGAAUAUAAAAAUAUUUAAGAAUUUUAGAUUUUCCCCUUCAUGCUAUGCAUACUUUAUAUACUUUUAACCAGAUAUGAUAUAUUCUUUUUAAAAUUACAUGUGUGUGUUCCUAUGCACAUGUUUGUGUGUACACAAAGUCAGAUGAGUAUAUCUGAUGCCUCCUAGCUGGAGUUACAGGCAUUUGCAAGACACCGGGCUUGUUCUGUAGGUGCUGGGAUCUGAACUUGGGUCCUCAUGAUUGUGCAACAAGCAUUCUUAACCCUAAGCCACUUCUGCAGUUCAGAUACUCAAUUCUAAAUGGAAAAUGAUUAAAGCAUUUGAUUUUAUAAAUUUACAGUGAAAAAAAAUCACACAUGCACAUGCUCUCUCUCUCUCUCUCUCUCUCUCUCUCUCUCACACACACACACAUGCACACACACAGGCACAUGUACACACAUAAUCUCCCAAACAUACUUAAAAUUCUCUGUUAACUGAAAUUAUUCUUUAAUAUUUCCACUCAGAUCUGGUCUUUCUUCCUCCACAAUUCAUGAGUUUUUGAAGGACUGGAUCUCAUGUAGACCAGGUUGACCUCAAGCUUGUUAUGUAGCAGAGUACGGCCUUGAACUCCUAGUCUUUCUCCCUCAACCUCCUGAAGGCUGGGAUUGCAAGUGUGUGCCAUCACACCUGGCUCUGUCAUUUUACUAGUAAUCUCUUUGAGAAAGAAAAAGCUACUAGUUUCAAAACUAUGUCUAACCAAGUUAAGUAAAUUAGUUAACUCUGAACUUAAAACUUGAAUUGAUUGAUUGAUUGACUGAUUGAUUCUAGGAAAUCCACUUGUUCUCAGUUGGCAAUCUCUUCACAUUUUCCUACAGUUACUUUUUAAUGCAACUUACAUAAUGCUAUCAACUACAAUUGAAAUGUUGUCAUGUAAACAACAACUAAAAUGACAGAGUGAUUUAAUCGAUUGUCUUAUAAAAAGUCUGCGUCUCAAUCAAAAGUCUCAAAUUUAAUUAGCUAGAUUGAAGGUAAGCUUUCAAUUCCGUAAGGUUUCAAAUUUGGCUCUUUCAGGUAUAGUCUGACAUCACAAAUGAAAAUAUAAAUCAUACUGCCUUUUGGGGUCUUUAUCUUAUUUUGAAAUAUUCAACAAACUUCUCUUUAUAAGAAAAUCUUGUAUUUAAGUAAAUAGGCAGUAAAUCCUUAUAAAGCUCUUUCAUGACUCAAUACAAGAACAUUAGCAAAGAAGUCAAGAAGCUAUUAAAUUCAUUGUCUUCUACUUCUUUCAAAUGACUCAUUGCUUUUGCAUGUAUACAAUGAAUGAUUUAACAACAGUAUUCAGGGCACACUUCAUGGAGUGCUUCGACAAAGAGCAUAAAUAUUUUUAAAAUGUAUCAUAGAGUGGAACAAAGAAGUAAAGGAAACAUUAGUCUGCCUUUGAAAAUUCCAAUAAAUCUGAUUUUGACUAACCUUAGUGGGAAAAGUAUUUGCUUAAUGUUUAGUAUCUCUCUAAACUUCUUUGACAGAUGUAGAAUGUUUAAAAUAAUUGUGGAAUGAGUUUGAUAGUGAAUAAGCAACAUUUUUUGGUAAAUUAACCAUUCUUUGGAUUGAAGCACAUUUAAAGUACUUAUAGGACAGCAUAUUUUUUAUCUUCUGAUUUAUCUAAAUUUAAAACAAAAACACAAAACAAAACAGAAAACCGAAGCUCACAUUGGGGAAAAAGAUAAAAGAAAGUUGGAGUUUUUAAUCAACAGAUCUUACAUUCUUUCUUCUUGAGUAGGCAUGUACAGACGUGUGUGUCUGCACGCAUGUACCUACACAUAUGUGCACAUGCAUGUAAACGCUAAAGGAACUCAGAAGUUAUUCCUCAGGUGCUAUCUAUAUCUUAAAGUUUCCUUUAGCAUAUUUCCAUCUAAGAAUGUAUAUGUAUCUUUUAUGUACAUGUGUAAAGCAAAGCACUUUAACAUCUGGCCAAUGACACAAGCUUGGUUCUUGUUAAAACUCUUACAUUUUUAAAUUAACAAAAAGGUUCUUGGGGAUGGAGAACACUUAAAGGACCCACAUUUAGUUCCCAGAAUCCACAUGGUGGAACAUAACCAUCUGUAACUACAGUUCCAGGGGCUCUGAUGUUUCCUUCUGACUUCUGUAGGCAUUGGAUAUAAACAUGGUACACAUACAUGAAUCAGGCAAAACAUACACAUAAAAUAUUUUAAAAAUUAAGUUUUUAUAUUUUCCUUAAAUAUACAAUUUUACUGAGAGGAGCUGAAAGUUUCUCUUAAUGAAAUCCACACAAUAAUUAUCUGUCUCAUUUAUUCUACUUCCAGCAAAUUACAGCAGCUAUCCAUUGUAGAAUUUGCAGCAUAUCACUGAUCUUUUCUUUCAUUUUUACUUCUGUGAACACGGAGUAUGCAUAUAUGGAGGAGAGAAGAAACCUGGCUGCUGUUUCACAGGUGCCCCCUUCUUGUUUAGUAAGACACCCUGGGUCUCUGCAGGGACAGUAGGAGAUAAUCAGGGACUCAGGAACCUACCUGACUCUACUACUCCAGAGCUGAAAUUGCAAGUGUUUAAUAUUCUAUCAUGUCUGGUUUUUCCUUUACUUACUUUUAAUAUGGGUUUGGGGGCUUAAAUUCAGAUCUCCUUGCCUAUAAGUAUAAGACAAGCAUUUUACCAAACAAGCUAUCACAGGAUUAUUAGCUGUACCUAUGCAAUUCUUCAUCAGUUGUGUAUUUUGGUUUCAGACUUAAAACUUCCCAUGUUUACAUUUAACUUAAAAAUCAUUGUGUUAUGAUUAAAAUAAUGUUUUUCAUUAUUAUUAUUACCAGUUAUAGAUGUCACUGCAGCUUGUAAUAUCUGACUAAAAUAUCAAGGAUACAAUAUAAUGUUAUACAGUUAAAAAAAACCAUCAAAUAUUUUAAGUCAAUCAGUAUGUAGACACAAACUAAAUAAGUGGUCUAUAUGUAACACUAAAAAUAGCACACCCCCCACAACACACACACACACACACACACACACACACACACACACACACACACAUCCUGAGUACACCGAAAACCAUACAUAACAAAUAUUAAGCAACAUACAUGUCCUGCCAAAACAUUUUGCACGGUUUCAGUGUUUACUAGCUUUCUUGUUGUCACUGAAACAAGCGCUCACUUUACAGUCUCAAACUGGUCUUCACCUCUCCCCCUUUCUCCCCCUUCAGCAUCCCAAGUGCUGGAAUUGCACUGUGUGCCCUCAUUCUCAGUUA